GCCUUUAUAGCUUAGUUGGUAGAGCAUCGCAUUCGUAACGCGAAGGUCGCCGGUUCGAGUCCGGCUAAAGGCU
RNAcentral lists this transfer RNA (73 nucleotides) under Muribaculaceae bacterium. Its description in RNAcentral is "tRNA-Thr". It matches the Rfam family "tRNA". Rfam says of the family: Transfer RNA (tRNA) molecules are approximately 80 nucleotides in length. Their secondary structure includes four short double-helical elements and three loops (D, anti-codon, and T loops). Lineage: Bacteria; Pseudomonadati; Bacteroidota; Bacteroidia; Bacteroidales; Muribaculaceae. The record is from RNAcentral.